Molecule: long non-coding RNA, 1414 nt
Organism: Mus musculus (house mouse)
Lineage: Eukaryota; Metazoa; Chordata; Mammalia; Rodentia; Muridae
Product: predicted gene, 39576
Exons: 3
Source: RefSeq, a predicted model, not a curated record
CCCUAACUAAGACAACACCUCUAGUCCCAGUACUCAGGAAGUUGAGGCAGAAGAUCAGGUGUUCUGGGUCAGCUUUGGCUACAUAGUGAGUUGCAGGCCAGUCAGGGCUGUAUGAGGCAGGCAGGGGUUGGGGGGAGAGGCAGGGAGAGCACAGGCAGACGAGCAGAUUCUAUUUAAACAAAACCUUAAAACAUGAGAUCAGAUACUGCGUAUGGAUAUUAUAUAUAUGACAUAUAUAAAAAUUAAUAGGAAUGAUGAACAUGAAAUAUUCAAGGGAGUUAACUAUGCUGUAAUAAGCAAAUUAAAACUAACUUUGAAAAUGAGAAAUCAGAAAGAUAACACGGCAGGGUACUCUCACCCUGAAGGAGGUGAGCAUGACCUUUGGAAUGUCAGACGGAGGGAGCCAUUUGGUGCAUAUAUAACUCCUGCGUUUGAUGAGCAGAUGAGAAAUCAUUCGGUUAACAUUCAGCUUUCUGAUGCGUUUAUAAAUAAUUCCAAUAGUAACCUUUUUCAUUGGGAAACACCUGUACGGUGCCAACUCUGAUUACUCCCUGUGGAUAUUGCUUAGCUCAAAAUUAAUAUAUCAUACUUUCAAGAAUGACAGACUGUGGGCUGGAAUAGGAGAAAACAGUAAUUUAUAAGAUGGAGUAAUUACUGGAGGAUCCAGGUACUAUUUACUGACUUUCUUCUUUGUUCUCAAGCCAACAAAAUUAUCGAGUCCACAUUCCAGAGUCCUUUAUUAGCCUUAAUCUUAGGUUGUCUAUCAAAAACAAUACUGUUGUGGAUUAAUAAACAGCACAAACCCAUAAUAAACCGCACGGGCUCUUGGUCUUCCCAGGUAAUAAGAGCGCUCAGCUGAAGCAUUAUCAAUGUGACUGACUGCAGGUCCUUUUUCCCUGGCUGCUCACUCUGGCUAGGACGGCUUCGCUCGCUGCACUACAAGCAAUAGCCACCAGGUGGCAGCAACCCCAUGACUGCCAAUGGCCGCGGAAGGAGAGGCCACCUCUCUGGCUUCUAAGCCAACCUGAAGGUUUAGCUGCAGAACCAGGGUGUCUCUAGUUCCUAACGUAGUACUGAAUGGCUUGAGUCCUGGAAUCCAGACUGGAGGAUUUGUGGGAAUAAAGGAAGAACACACACGCAGGCCCAGGUACAGGAAAGCUGGGAUCAGAUGGGGUCGGAGCCCAGAUUGGGAACCCAACGUAAGCAUUCGCAGGCAGUAAACACCCAGGAGGAAGCUUCAAUAUCCAGUCUCUGUACGUGCCGCUCGGACAUCCAUGAACAGUUAAUCUCCCGGCCUCUGAGCAGAGCUUCUCCACCGCUUGAGGCCCCCUGAGGUGAUGUAACCCACCAUCCACUUCGAAUGCUAAUGUCACAUUUAAAUACCUUUCAAAUAAAAAGGCAACAUUAAAAUUAC